Molecule: ribosomal RNA, 301 nt
Filed under: uncultured bacterium
Lineage: Bacteria
Description: partial 16S ribosomal RNA
Rfam family: Bacterial small subunit ribosomal RNA
Source: RNAcentral
CAGCCGCCGCGGUAAUACAGAGGAUGCAAGCGUUGUUCGGAAUUAUUGGGCGUAAAGGGUGCGUAGGCGGUUUGAUAAGUCAUCUGUGAAAUCUAUGGGCUCAACCCAUAGUCUGCAGGCGAAACUGUCGGGCUUGAGUAUUGGAGAGGUGAGUGGAAUUUCCGGUGUAGCGGUGAAAUGCGUAGAUAUCGGAAGGAACACCUGUGGCGAAAGCGGCUCACUGGACAAUUACUGACGCUGAUGCACGAAAGCUAGGGGAGCAAACAGGAUUAGAUACCCCGGUAGUCCCUGUCUCUUAUAC